This is a non-coding RNA of Cinara cedri, 353 nucleotides long. The record is from the annotation of a GenBank genome assembly. Lineage: Eukaryota; Metazoa; Arthropoda; Insecta; Hemiptera; Aphididae.
ACCACCAGCGUUUGGUAAUACUGAAGAGAUGUCCGUCCCUCACUAGAAUCUGCUUCGGUUUUCGCGAACAAUCGUUCCCACGAGUUUCGCAUUAAAAUUGUACAAAACGAUUAACGAGAGUCUCCGGCCAAUCAAAUGAAGUAAAUUUUACCGAUAACGUCCCAAGGGUUUUUCUACAUCCGUCGAUGCGCUGGUCAGAACAUUGACACUUAUCUCUCACCCGUCUUUGGUAAGCGAAUUUCUAUCAAGGUUUUUUGUGUUUGCGCUUUCGUUCAGCCCAUGACGGCAUAGUAAAUUCUCGUGUAAAGUCCUCUGUGUGGCGCAAUGUCGGUUGGUGCAAUGAAUACUGCGAG